RNAcentral lists this ribosomal RNA (253 nucleotides) under uncultured bacterium. RNAcentral's name for it is "partial 16S ribosomal RNA". It matches the Rfam family "Bacterial small subunit ribosomal RNA", at positions 524 to 776 of the family's 1533-position model. The record is from RNAcentral.
UACAGAGGUCUCAAGCGUUGUUCGGAUUCAUUGGGCGUAAAGGGUGCGUAGGUGGCGCGGUAAGUCGGGUGUGAAAUCUCGGAGCUUAACUCCGAAAUUGCAUUCGAUACUGCCGUGCUCGAGGACUGGAGAGGUGAGUGGAAUUCCUGGUGUAGCGGUGAAAUGCGUAGAUAUCAGGAGGAACACCGGUGGUGUAGACGGCUCACUGGACCGUAACUGACGCUGAGACACGAAAGCGUGGGUAGCAAACAGG